RNAcentral lists this long non-coding RNA (271 nucleotides) under Brassica rapa (field mustard). RNAcentral describes it as "long non-coding RNA (BRAP_LNC008096)". The record is from RNAcentral. Lineage: Eukaryota; Viridiplantae; Streptophyta; Magnoliopsida; Brassicales; Brassicaceae.
GAGUGUUGCCUAGCAUUUUACCAGACUCCUUGAGGGCUCGGAUGAAUGCCUCAAAGUCAGCCUUGGUGAUCACCUCCUGAGAAGUUAGAGCUCUGCCUUCACUUUCACCCGCCUUGACAUUUGGAUUAGCCCCUGAUGAGCCAGCACCACUUGCUUCAGCAGAAAGGUGAGCCUUAGCUUCUCUAUCCUUGUUGAACUUGCUCGGCCUGAGGUGUGGAUGUAGAAUCCAGCACUGGCUCUUCUUAUGCCCCUGCCGCUUGCAAUGCUCACA